Molecule: long non-coding RNA, 2007 nt
Organism: Daphnia pulicaria
Lineage: Eukaryota; Metazoa; Arthropoda; Branchiopoda; Diplostraca; Daphniidae
Exons: 2
Source: RefSeq, a predicted model, not a curated record
CUCAGUCGCAGCUCGUCCACACGGGCAACAACACUGAUGCUCAGAGACUUGAACAACUUUUUUUUCCGAGUGAACACAUUUUAACCUACUGGCAGCUGCUCUUUUCUUUUCCAAUUUGGGGCCGUACAUAAAGGUCGUCCACCGUUAAGGGGAGGCGAGGGUUCUGGAUUUUGGACGGAAAUGGACGGGAGGGAGGGGGGUUAAAAAUUUAUUGACGUCCAUUCCAAUAGAAUACAAUUUUUUGUAAUGCGCGGCUUAAUAAAGCAGACGAAAGUCUUUUUUUUCUUUCUCGAAACUCAUUUCAGCUGUUUUUGUUUCAUUAUUUAUUCGUCUUUUGCUACUCUUCCUAACGAAAUGUAAUCAAGACGCGAAAUACAGAAAAAGGAAUGUCAUUUUUACAUUUAAUUUUUUUUGGGGGGGUCACUGUUGGACGGCCUUUUUGGGAGGGGUCUGAACGUUUGGACGCUUUUUGGACGUGGGGGUUGGGGAGGGGGGGGUUCUACAAUGCGGAAAAAAUAGUGGAAGUCCUUUAUGUACGGCCCCUGUGUCAUCGGAACUAACGAAAAAAAAAACUUUUUUCCUGCACGCGUCGAUAAUUCUCCAAGUCAAAUCCAAUUUAUCCAUUUUAGCAUGGUCCUAUGCUUGUCACUGUUGUCUGCUAGUGUCCAGCAAGCAUUCGCAAUUUUCAAAAGUGUGGACACGAAAAGGCCAACAUUCACGGCCAUCCCCAUGCCGGUCAGUGCGUGGUUAAAGGCCAAGAUUAUGAACAUAAGGCUCCCAAAACCGUCAAUCAGGUCCGAUGAGGCCAGCAGGUUGGGUACUUCUUUUUGGGGAGGGGUAUGAACGUUUGGACGCUUUUUGGACGUGGGGGUUGGGGAGGGGGGGUCUACAAUGCGGAAAAUAUAGUGGAAGUCCUUUAUGUACGGCCCCUGUGUCAUCGGAACUAACGGAAAAAAAAACUUUUUUUCCUGCACGCGUCGAUUAUUCUCCAAGUCAAAUCCAAUUUAUCCAUUUUAGCAUGGUCCUAUGCUUUUCACUGUUGACUGCUAGUGUCCAGCAAGCAUUCGCAAUUUUCAAAAGUGUGGACACGAAAAGGCCAACAUUCACGGCCAUCCCCAUGCCGGUCAGUGCGUGGUUAAAGGCCAAGAUUAUGAACAUAAGGCUCCCAAAACCGUCAAUCAGGUCCGAUGAGACCAGCAGGUUCACCUGGGAAUUAAAGGUCUGUUAAAAUUAUCCCUCCAAAUCAUCCGAUUUGGAAAAAUUAAAUUAAAUCACCAGAACUUGUUCAAAAGGACAAAAAAAAACACAACAGACACAGCAAAUUGGAUUCAAAAAAUUAUUAUUAUUUCUUUUUUAAUUUCGCCAGUUUGUGCUCAGUGUAUUGGUUGAUAGUGGUGGUGGUUGGACACAUCCUCCCUUCAUAUCAAAUUGAAAAAGAGCGUCAGUUUUUUUUCAUUCUUUCUAGUGAGUGUGUCCCCGCGCGCUUCGGAUUUCAACGCCUCGUCAAAUAUAUCGUUCCUCUCUUAAUUGAAAACGUCUUACCAUUGAAUGGAGUACCCUCGUGUACCAUUGAAUAGUCCCAAUCGGACCAUAUACCCUAGGUGGCGUGGUUCCAAGGCUCCAGUUGCAGAUACAUAUAAGAUCCUGGCCUUUGGUAACUUUUUUUGCAGUUCCCGAACAGAUAGGCACACAAUUCUUUACCUGAUAGCAUUCAUCAAAAACUAUGACACCGUAAAAGUCAUAAUGGCACCAUUUUAGGAUCUGAUCCAUUCUUGUUUGGUAUUCUCCACGGGAAUGUGACUCUGCAAUUAAGCAAGGGUAAGUCGAGAAAAUGAUGCCGUUCUUGAUUCUUCCAUUAGCACUCCCCGAUAUUCUGUGACCGUAUUUUAUAUACUUCAAGGCAUGAACAGGAAUUUCUUUGCCGGCUCCAAUGUCUUGAAGAUCUCGUUCCACAGCGAACUUAAGGUCAUUGGAUACAGAUAUCCAGAUGGCCCUUUUCGAAAAUUU